CCACCAUACUUGACUUAGUUUUUACUAUUUCAUAUUUCCUUUCUACUUCUCUAAGAGCUCAGUAUGCAGAAGAGACGCACAAGAGUGGGAGUGACAAAGAAUGUGGAAAGCUGAGAUGUCUCUGAGCGGCUGCUUCUCCGAGCCAUGAAGACCUGCAGAGUGGGAAUCGUAUUUGCCUGGGCCCUUGGUGGAAAAAGUCUUCCUUCCAUUUUUAACAUCCACCCCGGAGGUGAUGGACUGCUAAAACAGGAACAGUACACUACUCUUUGUGUAGGGUUCCCUUACAACCUGAGGACUGAAAGCACCUUCAGACCAUAACGUUAAGUGAGAUAAUUCAGACAUGCAAGCUUAUAUAUAAAUAAAGAGCAAAAUAAAAGCUGGGUAGUUGGAAGUAGGAAGAUAGAUCUUUCUCUGGUGGAAAGGGGACCUAGGGACGGAGAAAGGAGGGGAGGGAGAAGGGAGCGAGGGGUGAAACAAGAACUGAGGCGCGUUGUGUGGGGAGUGCAGACGUUAUGUACUGCAAACACUGACUAAUAAGACAGAAAAACUAAGGAAAAAACAAAACAAAAGAAGCUGGUUUACUGCAAGCCACUUCCAGGGGGAAAACAGACUUUCAUGUUAACUAAACAUUUCAAAAGUUUGGAAUUUAUGGAGAAAACAAAAUGAAAAAUGUGUAUGACCUUAACAUUCUUUAAAUGUAAGAUUCACCCUCUGUCCUGUUACAAGCACAGCUUCACAAUAAACCAAGAAUACAUGAGCUAUUUGUCCAGAGACGGUUCCAGCUUUAGCGACACAGCUAUAUAGCACAGGUUUCGCUUCUGACCGCUUUUGCUUCUCGGCUGAUUUUACAGUGAGAUCACGAAAACAAUAUUAUUUGUAAAACUAUCCCCUAGCUCGAUCCACCCCUGGCCCCAGGGCCUUUCUUAACCCUUGGAUGUUCUGAUCACUCCUUUGCAGCAUCUAUCUUGAAUCACUGUUCUCAGCGGCCCCCUCCCCUGGCUGGGGCACCUACCCUGCGCGGCCUCACCUCUAACACCUGGAGGUCCCGCCUGGUGGGCAGCUCCGCCUAUUUUGUGAGACCGCAGUUGGCCUUGGGCGUUCUUGCAUGGGACGCUCGCUCGGAGUCUCCGACAGCCAGGGGGCCGAGGAAUGACUAUGACAUUGACCUGCUGCAGGUGACAGGGGAUGAACAGAGCAGUCUUAAACUACAGGAGAAUUCCUUUAUCUGCAUAGGCCGUGUGCUUUUGGGGUGAAUUGUAACAACCUGUGUUAAUUAGAUGGGUAUAUUUGUACUGUGAAAAAUGCCCAGCAUAUGCUACAUGAAAAAGAUACAUUGGAAGCCGGGAUCCAGAAUAAAAUAUUUUGUUUAAAAAUUCUAUUUCGCAUAGCUUUUCAAGGGUAGAUAAAUUCACA
This 1413-nucleotide long non-coding RNA is filed under the name Fukomys damarensis (Damara mole-rat). RNAcentral describes it as "lncRNA (ENSFDAG00000030951.1)". The record is from RNAcentral. Lineage: Eukaryota; Metazoa; Chordata; Mammalia; Rodentia; Bathyergidae.